Molecule: ribosomal RNA, 729 nt
Filed under: Solicoccozyma terricola
Lineage: Eukaryota; Fungi; Basidiomycota; Tremellomycetes; Filobasidiales; Piskurozymaceae
Description: LSU rRNA
Rfam family: Eukaryotic large subunit ribosomal RNA
Source: RNAcentral
CGAGUUUCUGGGACGUUUGUCCGCUUUCUAAUACAAGUUCUAGCUUGCUAGACAUGACUUUUUUAUUAUCUGGCCUCAAAUCAGGUAGGACUACCCGCUGAACUUAAGCAUAUCAAUAAGCGGAGGAAAAGAAACUAACAAGGAUUCCCCUAGUAACGGCGAGUGAAGGCGGGAAGAGCUCAAAUUUGAAAUCUGGUGGCCUCAGGCUAUCCGAGUUGUAAUCUAUAGAAACAUUUUCCGCGUUGGCCCAUGUACAAGUCUCUUGGAAUAGAGCGUCAUAGAGGGUGAGAAUCCCGUCCUUGACAUGGACUACCAGUGCUUUGUGAUAUGUUUUCAACGAGUCGAGUUGUUUGGGAAUGCAGCUCAAAAUGGGUGGUAAAUUCCAUCUAAAGCUAAAUAUUGGCGAGAGACCGAUAGCGAACAAGUACCGUGAGGGAAAGAUGAAAAGCACUUUGGAAAGAGAGUUAAACAGUAUGUGAAAUUGUUGAAAGGGAAACGAUUGAAGUCAGUCGUGUCUAUUGGACUCAGCCGGUUCUGCCGGUGUACUUCCUUUAGAUGGGGUCAACAUCAGUUUUGAUCGCUGGAAAAGGGCAGGAGGAAUGUAGCACUCUCGGGUGAACUUAUAGCCUUCUGUCGCAUACAGUGGUUGGGACUGAGGAACGCAGCUUGCCUUUAUGGCCGGGAUUUAUCCACGUACAAGCUUAGGAUGUUGACAUAAUGGCUUUAACA